ACUCCGACACAACUUACACCCGUCACACCGAUAAACAGCCCCGCAUCAGGGGACGGAGGAAGAAGAGGAAGAGAUAAAUGAAAAGGAGAUGUUUUACCCUAGAUGGCUCUCUGAUCUGUCGCCAUGAACGAGUCAAGGUUCAAGAGCUGUUUAGAUUGGGAGGUAGGGGAAGGCCAGCAGGGGGAUAAAGAUUCCACAACGUCUGAACGCAGACCUCUCUAUCAAGAGGAGGAGAAAUGCAGAAGAUGGAUGGCUCGGGAAAAGAAGGAAAGAGAGCUGGGGCGAAGGGGUUGAGGAGUCCAUCAGCAGCUGCCGUGGAUCGAGGGAAGACAAAGGCUAAUGAAGGCACGUGAAGCAGCAGAGACGCAGUAAAUCAGGAGCGAGGCAGCCAGGCCGCUGCCAAGUGUUUUGGGUACACAUCAUUUUAUCACCUGUCUCCGCGCCAACCUGCCAUCACGCAGCGUUUUGGAUGUUGGGCAACUCCCUGUGUGUUUCCCUGUUUGUGUGUUUGCCGCACGCCGGGCAAGAAUCAACAGUCCCGAACAACUGCUGCCAACGAACACACAGUCUGCCUCAGGCUUCUUCUGAAAGAGUCGCCUUCUCUGGUUUUAAUUUCCCGCUUUCACUUCAGUGGUUUAUUUUUAAACUUUUUUUUAAUGAAACAAACUCUGUAAGACUGUGUUUCUAAUCCGUUCGAACUGGAACAGGGUGGUUUUAAGCUUACACAAUCUUUAGCCUACUUCAGGUUGUCAGGUUCUGUUUAAAUGAUUUCUUGAUUCUAGAAAAUGCAGGUAAUCACAGUUAAUUCAUAAUUUAACAAAUAGAGCUUUUACUGUAUCUCAUAGGUUUGGCUUGGAGAACCUAUUACCUCACUAAUAAAUAAAAUAAUCACCUGAA
This is a long non-coding RNA of Xiphophorus hellerii (green swordtail), 897 nucleotides long. RefSeq lists it as uncharacterized. The transcript has 2 exons. NCBI's taxonomy places the organism in Eukaryota, Metazoa, Chordata, Actinopteri, Cyprinodontiformes, Poeciliidae. The record is from RefSeq and is a predicted model, not a curated record.